GGGGCGGACAAUGUGCCGAGAAAAGCUGCUGGUUGUUCCCCGGAGCGCCCGUACCGCAAACCGACACAGGUGGGUGAGUCGAGUAGACUAAGGCGCGCGAGAGAAACCUUUCUAAGGAACUCUGCAAAAUAGCCCCGUAACUUCGGGAGAAGGGGUGCCCAACGCAAGUUGGGUCUCAGUAAAUUGGGUUUAGCGACUGUUUAACAAAAACACAGCACUCUGCCAAGUCGUGAAGACGACGUAUAGGGUGUGACACGUGACCAAUGCGGAAAGAUCAAGGUGAGUUGUUAGCCGCAAGGCGAAGCUCCGAGCCUAAGUCCCCGUGAAUGUCGGCCGUAACUAUAACGGUCCUAAGGUAGCGAAAUUCCUUGUCGGGUAAGUUCCGACCUGCACGAAUCGUGUAACGACUGAACCGCUGUCUCGGAGAGGAUCUCGGCGAAAUUGUAACUGCGGUGAAGAUGCCGCAUGCCCGCAGUAGGACGGAAAGACCCUAUGCACCUUUACUGUAAGCUGAUAUUGUGUUCUGGUUCAUGAUGCGUAGCGUAGGUGGGAGGCGUUGAUGCCACGGUUUAGGCCGUGGUGGAGCUGAAAUGUGAAACACCACUCUUUGUGAAUUAGGAUUCUAACCUCCGCCUGUUAGCCAGGGGAGGGACAGUGUCUGCGGGUCAGUUUGGCUGGGGCGGCUUCCUCCCAAAAAGUAACGGAGGAGCGCGAAGCUGGGCUCAACAUGGUUUGCAACCAUGUGUCGAGCGUAUGGGUAUAAGCCCGGUUAACUGCAAGACCUACAAGUCGAGCAGAUGCGAAAGCAGGCCCAAAUGAUCCGACGGUGGAAUGUGGAAUUGCCGUCGCUCAACGGACAAAAGGUACGCUAGGGAUAACAGGCUGAUCGAUUCCAAGAGUUCAUAUCGACGAAUCGGUUUGGCACCUCGAUGUCGGCUCAUCGCAUCCUGGGGCUGGAGAAGGUCCCAAGGGUCCGGCUGUUCGCCGGUUAAAGCGGUACGCGAGCUGGGUUCAGAACGUCGUGAGACAGUUCGGUCCUUAUCCACUGUGGGCGCAGGAAACUUGAGGGGUUCAUUCCCUAGUACGAGAGGACCGGGAAUGACGCGCUUCUGGUGUGGCAAUUGUAUCGUCAGAUGCAUCGUUGCGUAGCCAUGCGCGGAAGAGAUAAGCGCUGAAAGCAUCUAAGCGCCAAGCUCCUCCCAAGAUAUGGUUUCCCUGUCGCAAGACACUAAAGGCCCCCGGAAGACCACCGGGUUGAUAGGUUGGGCGUGCACAACAAGCAAUUGUUUUAGCGGACCAAUACUAAUCGGCCGUGAGGCUUGAUCGC
This 1327-nucleotide ribosomal RNA is filed under the name metagenome. RNAcentral's name for it is "bacterial LSU rRNA". It matches the Rfam family "Bacterial large subunit ribosomal RNA", at positions 1593 to 2925 of the family's 2925-position model. The record is from RNAcentral.